This 492-nucleotide ribosomal RNA is filed under the name uncultured bacterium. Its description in RNAcentral is "bacterial SSU rRNA". It matches the Rfam family "Bacterial small subunit ribosomal RNA", at positions 15 to 518 of the family's 1533-position model. The record is from RNAcentral.
GAUCCUGGCUCAGGAUGAACGCUGGCGGCGCGCUUAACACAUGCAAGUCGAACGGUUAAAGCACCUCCGGGUGUGCAUAAAGUGGCGAACGGCUGAGUAACACGUGGGCAACCUGCCCCCCGCACCGGGAUAGCCUCGGGAAACCGUGGGUAAUACCGGAUACUCCGCCACCCCCGCAUGGGGGAGGCGGGAAAGCGUACACGGCGGGGGAUGGGCCCGCGGCCUGUUAGCUCGUUGGCGGGGUAACGGCCCACCAAGGCGAUUAUGGGUAGCCGGGUUGAGAGACCGACCGGCCAGAUUGGGACUGAGACACGGCCCAGACUCCUACGGGAGGCAGCAGUGGGGAAUCUUGCACAAUGGGCGAAAGCCUGAUGCAGCCGACGCCGCGUGCGGGAUGAAGGCCCUCGGGUUGUAAACCGCUUUCAGCAGGGACGAGGCGCAAGUGACGGUACCUGCAGAAGAAGCCCCGGCUAACUACGUGCCAGCCGCAGC